AUUGAACGCUGGCGGCAUGCUUUACACAUGCAAGUCGAACGGCAGCGGGGAGGAGCUUGCUUCUCUGCCGGCGAGUGGCGAACGGGUGAGUAAUACAUCGGAACGUGUCGAGAAGAGGGGGAUAACCACCCGAAAGGGUGGCUAAUACCGCAUAAAUUCUGAGGAAGAAAGCUGGGGACCUAGGAAUAGGCCUAGCGCUUUUUGAGCGGCCGAUGUCGGAUUAGCUAGUUGGUGAGGUAAAGGCUCACCAAGGCGAAGAUCUGUAGCGGGUCUGAGAGGAUGAUCCGCCACACUGGGACUGAGACACGGCCCAGACUCCUACGGGAGGCAGCAGUGGGGAAUUUUGGACAAUGGGGGCAAACCUGAUCCAGCCAUGCCGCGUGUAUGAAGAAGGCCUUAGGGUUGUAAAGUACUUUUGUUAGGGAAGAAAAGUCAGCUGUGAAUAAUGGCUGAUACUGACGGUACCUAAAGAAUAAGCACCGGCUAACUACGUG
This 494-nucleotide ribosomal RNA is filed under the name uncultured bacterium. RNAcentral describes it as "partial 16S ribosomal RNA". It matches the Rfam family "Bacterial small subunit ribosomal RNA", at positions 30 to 507 of the family's 1533-position model. The record is from RNAcentral.